UACCUGUGCUUCUGUACUGUUUCGACAUGUGGCAUAAUGCAAUAAAUUAUAUGCUAAUUAGAAAAUUGUAUCAUUGCACUAACCUGCCAAUUCAAAUGUAAUGUGUCAUAUUGCAAUAGUAGUCUCUAAGAUGUAACACAGCUAUAUUCCUCUUCUAUUUGUCACAGGUGAUUUUAAAAGUCUGGUGCCAUUAAUAAACACUCAGUAGUAGCGAGGGGACUACAGCUGAUUGUUGUAGCCUAUUUGCAUAAAGGGUGUUUAGUAUUCCUAAUUUAAUUUAUGGCUACAUAAAGUCAUUAUUGAUUAGUACUAACGGUGGUCUUCCAUGUUACAGUGACGCAUUUUCACAGCGCAACGAUCCGCUGCACGGAGAACCUCAUCGAGAGGUCCGCAGUGCAGCUGCAUCUCGCGAUCCACAAGCAGAGAAUUCACAGGAAGCUCAGCAGGGCAUUGGGGCCAGUGAAUUGCAUCCAACCGGAGUUAGUCUGCAAGUGUCCUGUCAGAUGCAGCUCCCCACCUGUGCUACGCACUGUAGCAACUCAGUGUGCUGUUGCUGCCUGGACUGUUGCUACCGAGACGUUACACAAGGGGGUGUUAAAAAAUAUGCUGGUGAGCUUACACCACUUGCUAUACAUGGACACUUCUGAUGCAG
Dermacentor andersoni is the source of this 652-nucleotide long non-coding RNA. RefSeq lists it as uncharacterized. The record is from RefSeq and is a predicted model, not a curated record. Lineage: Eukaryota; Metazoa; Arthropoda; Arachnida; Ixodida; Ixodidae.